This 946-nucleotide ribosomal RNA is filed under the name Merluccius bilinearis (silver hake). Its description in RNAcentral is "12S ribosomal RNA". It matches the Rfam family "Bacterial small subunit ribosomal RNA". Lineage: Eukaryota; Metazoa; Chordata; Actinopteri; Gadiformes; Merlucciidae. The record is from RNAcentral.
CAAAAGUUUGGUCCUGACUUUACUGUCAACUCUAGCCUAAUUUACACAUGCAAGUCUCCGCUCUCCCGUGAGAAUGCCCUUAAUGUCCUGAAAGGAAUUAAGGAGCAGGCAUCAGGCACGCCUAACGCAGCCCACAACGCCUUGCUCAGCCACCCCCCUACGGGUAUUCAGCAGUGAUAAAAUUUAAGCCAUAAGUGAAAACUUGACUUAGUUAAGGCUAAGAGGGCCGGUAAAUGCUCGUGCCAGCCACCGCGGUUAUACGAGCGGCCCAAGUUGACAAAAAACGGCGUAAAGCGUGGUUAAAAAAAUGUUAAAACUAGAGCCGAACAGCCUCAAAGCAGUUAUACGCACUCGAGGCCACGAAGCACAAUUACGAAAGUAGCUCUACUCUACUUUGACCCCACGAAAACCACAAAACAAACUGGGAUUAGAUACCCCACUAUGUGUGGCUGUUAACAUCGAGGGCCCGAUACUCUGACCCUCCGCCCGGGGACUACGAGCACUAGCUUAAAACCCAAAGGACUUGGCGGUGCUUUACCCCCCACUAGAGGAGCCUGUUCUAGAACUGAUAACCCCCGUUGAACCUCACCAUCCCUCGUUUAACCCGCCUAUAUACCGCCGUCGUCAGCUUACCCUGUGAAGGUCAAAUAGUAAGCAAAAAUGGCUAAGCCAAAAACGUCAGGUCGAGGUGUAGUGAAUGGGAUGGGAAGAAAUGGGCUACAUUCUCUGCUUCAGAGAAUACGAAUGGCAGCCUGAAAACCCUGCCUGAAGGUGGAUUUAGCAGUAAGGGAGGAAUAGAGUGCCUCCCUGAAAACGGCCCUGAAGCGCGCACACACCGCCCGUCACUCUCCCCAAAUAAUUAUUAAUAUUACCUAAAAUGUUUUACCAAACGAGGGGAGGCAAGUCGUAACAUGGUAAGCGUACCGGAAGGUGCGCUUGGAUGAAC